RNAcentral lists this non-coding RNA (30 nucleotides) under Cricetulus griseus (Chinese hamster). Lineage: Eukaryota; Metazoa; Chordata; Mammalia; Rodentia; Cricetidae. The record is from RNAcentral.
CAAUAUGGUGACCUCCCGGGAGCGGGGAGC